RNAcentral lists this ribosomal RNA (302 nucleotides) under uncultured bacterium. RNAcentral describes it as "partial 16S ribosomal RNA". It matches the Rfam family "Bacterial small subunit ribosomal RNA", at positions 508 to 807 of the family's 1533-position model. The record is from RNAcentral.
GCAGCCGCCGCGGUAAUACAGAGGGUGCGAGCGUUAAUCGGAUUUACUGGGCGUAAAGCGUGCGUAGGCGGCUUUUUAAGUCGGAUGUGAAAUCCCUGAGCUUAACUUAGGAAUUGCAUUCGAUACUGGGAAGCUAGAGUAUGGGAGAGGAUGGUAGAAUUCCAGGUGUAGCGGUGAAAUGCGUAGAGAUCUGGAGGAAUACCGAUGGCGAAGGCAGCCAUCUGGCCUAAUACUGACGCUGAGGUACGAAAGCAUGGGGAGCAAACAGGAUUAGAUACCCGCGUAGUCCCUGUCUCUUAUAC